RNAcentral lists this long non-coding RNA (450 nucleotides) under Sinocyclocheilus grahami. RNAcentral's name for it is "lncRNA (ENSSGRG00000021590.1)". Lineage: Eukaryota; Metazoa; Chordata; Actinopteri; Cypriniformes; Cyprinidae. The record is from RNAcentral.
AGGUGGUCUGAUAUGGACCGUAAUCCCGACAGCAGGUGCUGUGCUUCUGCUUCUGCUGCUGUUUCUGCUGCUGUUUUUCUGCUGCUGCAGGACAAUCCGAAGGAGACGUGUCAUGGCCUACAGGCCUCCAGCCGUCCGUCCCGAGCUUCUGGGAGUCUGUCAGGAGCGCAUGCCGCUCUACAUUAACUGCAGUGAAGUCACAAACGUCUACAGCAACGGCAGCUACCAGCUCGUCUAUCAGAACUGCACUCCGCUCUUCGUACGGAGCAAACAGAUGCACAAGAGACAGAGACGAGGAGCGAGACGCCAGCGAGCGCAGACCCCCGUCACUGCUGACUCCGACACGGCCGUCUAUGUGGAGGUCCUGUGAGCUCAGACUGUGUGCAUCUUCACUGUGUGCUGUUACUCCUGCUUCAGCUCGCCUCCAGAAAUAAAGAAAUAAACUCUGUG